Molecule: non-coding RNA, 31 nt
Filed under: Rattus norvegicus (Norway rat)
Lineage: Eukaryota; Metazoa; Chordata; Mammalia; Rodentia; Muridae
Source: RNAcentral
UAACUCUUGCUUCCUAUUUUUGUUGUGGAGU